Molecule: non-coding RNA, 30 nt
Filed under: Rattus norvegicus (Norway rat)
Lineage: Eukaryota; Metazoa; Chordata; Mammalia; Rodentia; Muridae
Source: RNAcentral
UGGGAGUCUGUUCUACUGUGCAGGUUCUGC